GAUGAACGCUAGCGGCAGGCCUAAUACAUGCAAGUCGAACGGGAUCCAUUGGGAGCUUGCUCCUGGUGGUGAGAGUGGCGCACGGGUGCGUAACGCGUGAGCAACCUACCCUUGUCAGGGGGAUAGCCCGGCGAAAGUCGGAUUAACACCGCAUGACAUUACGAGAUGGCAUCAUUUUGUAAUCAAAUAUUUAUAGGACAGGGAUGGGCUCGCGUGACAUUAGCUGGUUGGUAAGGUAACGGCUUACCAAGGCUACGAUGUCUAGGGGCUCUGAGAGGAGAAUCCCCCACACUGGUACUGAGACACGGACCAGACUCCUACGGGAGGCAGCAGUAAGGAAUCUUGCGCAAUGGGGGCAACCCUGACGCAGCGACACAGCGUGGAGGAUGAAGGUCUUCGGAUUGUAAACUCCUUUUAUCUGGGAAGAAUAGAUGACUGUACCAUAUGAAUAAGUACCUGCUAACUACGUGCCAGAAGCAUCGGUGAUGCGUAGGGUACGAACGUUAUCCGGAUUUACUGGGCGUAUAGAGAUGCGUAGGCGGUUUGAUAAGUCUUAAGUUAAAGACCUUGGCUUAACUAAAGGAGAGCUUUCGAAACUAUCAGACUUGAGACAUAGAGGGGUGAACGGAAUUCCGAGUGGAGCGGUAAAAUGUGUUGAUAUUCGGAAGAACAUCAGUGGCGAAAGCGGUUCACUGGCUAUUGUCUGACGCUAAGGCUCGAAAGCGUGGGUAGCAAACAGGAUUAGAUACCCUGGUAGUCCACGCUGUAAACGAUGAGUGCUAGGUGUUGGCCAGCGAUGGUCAGUGCCGCAGUAAACACAAUAAGCACUCCGCCUGGGGAGUACGGUCGCAAGACUGAAACUCAAAGGAAUUGACGGGGACCCGCACAAGCAGCGGAGCAUGUGGUUUAAUUCGAAGCAACGCGAAGAACCUUACCAAGGCUUGACAUCCCCUUGACAGGUGCAGAGAUGUACCCUCUCCUUCGGGAGCAAGGGUGACAGGUGGUGCAUGGUUGUCGUCAGCUCGUGUCGUGAGAUGUUGGGUUAAGUCCCGCAACGAGCGCAACCCUUAUCCUUAGUUGCCAGCAAGUUAAGUUGGGCACUCUAAGGAGACUGCCGGUGAUAAACCGGAGGAAGGUGGGGAUGACGUCAAAUCAUCAUGCCCCUUAUGUCUUGGGCUACACACGUGCUACAAUGGUCGGUACAACGGGCAGCGAAAGAGCAAUCCGGAGCAAAUCCCAAUAAACCGAUCCCAGUUCGGAUUGUAGGCUGCAACUCGCCUACAUGAAGUCGGAGUUGCUAGUAAUCGCGAAUCAGAACGUCGCGGUGAAUGCGUUCCCGGGUCUUGUACACACCGCCCGUCACACCAUGGAAGUUGGUAAUACCCGAAGUCGCUGAGCUAACCGUAAGGGGGCAGGCGCCGAAGGUAGGAUCAAUGACUGGGGUG
This 1445-nucleotide ribosomal RNA is filed under the name uncultured bacterium. Its description in RNAcentral is "bacterial SSU rRNA". It matches the Rfam family "Bacterial small subunit ribosomal RNA". The record is from RNAcentral.